UUUUUUUUAAGUUAGACAAAUAUUUGUAGAUACCGUAUCAAAGUCAAGUCUCUAUUGGCCAAAUUUAUGGCUAUAGGUGGCUAGAUUUUGGCCAACCCAUAAUAGCUUAACAUGUGGCAUGAGUGAAGGGUAAUUUACAUGUUAAUAAUAUUUAGUGCAGUAAACACAAAUUUUUUAUCACAAGGUUAUUUGUGGAAAUUGAUGAUAUAUGGGGUAUAACUGUAACUUGACAUUAGGUAGUGUCGGAAAGGUGUGGUUGCAGGCAUAACUUCCAAGUGCAGGCAGCCAUGGUUGCAGGUUGACGCUAUUGGAAAGGAGAGGUUAUUUUUUCCCUUUUUUUUCGCCGAAGGAAACGGAUCCUUAGUCUACUCUCGAUCUAGUCCUCAGAGAUCCGUGUUAACUCGCUGAUCUUCACGAUCGUCUCCUCCGCCAUCCCAAUUAAGCUGCACCGCUUGCGCUGUCGGAGGUUCUGCUGCUGAUUCCGAUUCUGAAGACGGCGAACGAGCUUCAUUGCGCCAUACCUCUGGCUUCCCUUAUAGUGAGCGAGCUUCUAUUCCCCUCUUGAUGAGAAUCCUAAAGAAUCUGCUGCUGCCUCUGAUGACGGCAAUCAAUCUUUGCUCCUUGGCAGUUCUCACAGCUCCAUGGAAUCCAGACGGCACUGCUGCUGCGGCCAGAGCUUGACGGUUGUGCUUUGUGAUCGCGCUUUCUAAACCAAUAUGGUCGUCUCUCUAUCCACGGCCACUUGCUCCCUCCUCCCCCUCCAUUAUUCCAAUUAGAACUUGACGGAUGCAGAGUCCGGCGGAAGUAGGAAAGGCUUUUUCUUUUUGGCCGUGGGGAGGGAAGGGUUGAAUAAGAUAGUAUGCUGGUGCUAUUUAAGGACGGUAAUGGGUCUCCACUCUCUCCCCGGCCCCGCCCUUUGUCCCGUUUAGUAAGAUAUUUCGGUUUUAAUUUAAUUUGUCUCAGAUUUUUAUUUCUAUUUUUUGAGGAAGAUAGAUAUUUGCAGGUAUUNNNNNNNNNNNNNNNNNNNNNNNNNNNNNNNNNNNNNNNNNNNNNNNNNNNNNNNNNNNNNNNNNAAAUAAAAUAAAUUAGAGUUUCUUACAUAACUUAUAUAUAAAAAUAAUUAACUAAAUAUUUUUUGAAAAAUUUUACAGGUCUUUGUAGGAUGAGUACUUCAAUCUCUGUCUCCAUCUCUAUUUAUUUGCGAGAAUAAAUUUCUAUUUUCGCUGAAAUUUUACAUAUUUUCGUUAGUCUUUUUGUCACAAAUAAUUUUUAUAGGUGUGGAUUUUUUUGCCAUUCCUAGUGCAAUUGGGCUUUAAUUUUUUUAAAAGAAUUAAAAUUUUUUGGUUUAAUUUUUAUCUGAAUAAAUUCUCAUUAAAAUAGGAUCUACGUAAGAAAGAAAAAGUACUUAUCAUUAAAUAGUUAUUACAUACAUCCUAAAAAUGUACAUAUCGAAAUAUGACUUUCAAAUUAAGUUUUAAAUUAACUAAAAAAUCGACCGAAAAUCGAUUGGUCGAAUUGAAUUGGAACCUGGCCGGGUUUGGCAAAAUUCACAAAAAGUCAUUGUUUUAAUCAUUAAGAAUUAAAAAAAAUAUAAAAAAUUAAGAAAUCCUAAAUCCCUCCUCCUCAAUCAUUGAAUGACAAUCAUUGAAUGACAACGCAAGGAAGAACAAAUUCAAAUAGCAAUAAAUAAAGACAAACAAACCAAUUAGAAGCAACUCUAGACAACGGUGAACACACAGGAGGAACAUAUUGAGAGCAUAGAGACAGAAUAGUAACACGAGCAGAAGCAGAUUAAGACAACGUGAGUAAGAAAAAGGGUUAUGACAAUACUUGAAAGGGAGAGGUAGAGCUAGAAUGAUGAGUGCAUGUCUUGGAGGAGAGGUAGAGCUCGAUGACUAAGUAUUAGAGAGAAGGUAUUUUGAACAGCUUCAUAGAGAAAGAAGAAGAGUGAUUAAUUUAAGGUUGGAUAGAAGUAAUAUCUUCUGCUAGGCUUAGCUUGAGUUGGGUCUCCACCCUAUUGGCUGGUAUAUAGAAAAAGACGAAAAAAUUUUGGUAAUUUUUUUCUAUAUGUCAGUCAACAGGGCAGAAGCCCAACCCAAGCUAAACAAAAAAUAGGGUACAAUGGAUUACUUAGAACAGUAAAGCGGAGUGGACUAGUAGGUUUGGAGCUAACUUGGAGAAUCGCAAUGUAAUGCAAAAAAAUGAGAUUAUUUUGAUGAGCGGAUAUUUUAUACGCUUUUUGGGGGUAUUUUCAUAUAGUUUUUAGUAGGAUCUAGCUACUUUUUAGUAUAUUUUUAUUAGUUUUUAUGCAAAAAUCACAUUUCUGGACUUUACUAUGAGUUUGUGUGUUUUUCUAUGAUUUCAGGUAUUUUCUGGCUGAAAUUGAUGGACCUGAGCAAAAAUCUGAUUCAGAGGCUGAAAAAGGACUGCAGAUGCUGUUGGAUUCUGACCUCCCUGCACUCGAAAUGGAUUUUCUGGAGCUACAGAAGCCCAAUUGGCGCGCUCUUAAUUGCGUUGGAAAGUAGACAUCCUGGGCUUUCCAGCAAUAUAUAAUAGUCCAUACUUUUCCCGAGUUGAGAUCACGCAAACUGGCGUUUAACGCCAAGUCUCUACCCUAUUCUGGCGUUAAACGCCAGAACUGGCAUAAAAGUUGGAGUUAAACGCCCAAACUGGCACAAAAGCUGAAGUUAAACGCCAGGAGCAGC
This 2705-nucleotide long non-coding RNA is filed under the name Arachis ipaensis. Its description in RNAcentral is "long non-coding RNA (AIPA_LNC001263)". The record is from RNAcentral. Lineage: Eukaryota; Viridiplantae; Streptophyta; Magnoliopsida; Fabales; Fabaceae.